This 497-nucleotide ribosomal RNA is filed under the name uncultured bacterium. RNAcentral's name for it is "partial 16S ribosomal RNA". It matches the Rfam family "Bacterial small subunit ribosomal RNA", at positions 28 to 507 of the family's 1533-position model. The record is from RNAcentral.
GAUGAACGCUGGCGGCGUGCCUAAUACAUGCAAGUCGAGCGAACGGACGAGAAGCUUGCUUCUCUGAUGUUAGCGGCGGACGGGUGAGUAACACGUGGAUAACCUACCUAUAAGACUGGGAUAACUUCGGGAAACCGGAGCUAAUACCGGAUAAUAUUUUGAACCGCAUGGUUCAAAAGUGAAAGACGGUCUUGCUGUCACUUAUAGAUGGAUCCGCGCUGCAUUAGCUAGUUGGUAAGGUAACGGCUUACCAAGGCAACGAUGCAUAGCCGACCUGAGAGGGGGAUAGGCCACACUGGAACUGAGACACGGUCCAGAGUCCUACGGGAGGCAGCAGUAGGGAAUGUUCCGCAAUGGGCGAAAGCGUGACGGAGCAACGCCGCGUGAGUGAUGAAGGUCUUCGGAUCGUAAAACUCUGUUAUUAGGGAAGAACAGAUGUGUAAGUAACUGUGCACAUCUUGACGGUACCUAAUCAGAAAGCCACGGCUAACUACGUG